Non-coding RNA from Heterocephalus glaber (naked mole-rat), 2341 nucleotides. The record is from RefSeq and is a predicted model, not a curated record. Lineage: Eukaryota; Metazoa; Chordata; Mammalia; Rodentia; Bathyergidae.
ACGUGACCCAAACUGCGUUGGCCGUUGGGGGCAAGGGAUCCCCGCGCUUGGCCUGCGGACUCCUGGCCCUGUGCUCUCCGCACACCGCGGAGGGUGGUCCUUGUCGCGUCCCAAGGGGAUUGAACUCAGGUCCUUGCGCUUGCGCAGCAGGCGGCGAAACUACUGAGCUAAAUGCCCGGCCCUGCUUCUUUUUCUUUUAAACCCUGUUCUGCCAAGUCUCGCUGGAGAAAGAAAACACAGACACUGGCCCUAGUGGUCCCAGACCUCCGCGGAGAGAGGAGAAAGGUGGGGAAAACAAAGGCCAGUGAAGGGUAAGACUGGAGGGAUCUGACGUGAAGAGUCGCCAUUCACCUGUCAUCAGCCAACAGUAGAGCAAGUUCACAUCCCACAGUUUAGAAGAGGCCAGUUUCCCAAAGGUCCCAGUAGAAAAAUGCAGCCUAGAACCCAGGAGUACUCGAGGCUUCUGUCACCACUGGACGUCAAAAAGGGUCAUUUGAUGACACUUAACCACUUGUGAGUCCAGGUGAAUGAACAGAACCUGCGGAAGAUGACAAGUACAGUUUCCUUUCCACUAGAAAAAAGACUGAGCUGAAGAUUGCUAAAAGUGAUAAAGCAAGUGUGGAGAUUUGCAUUAUUUCUCUGUGCUUCCCCUCUCCUCUAUUCCUUACUAUAAAAGACCCUUGCCCGAGAUACACAAUCAGAUAGAUGGUGAUUUGAGGCAAAUAGGCCCCUCCAUCUCCUCAGAGCUAGUAUUGAGCUUAUGAACCUAAGUGGCCAAUAACAAUAGGAGCAAGGAGAGGGCAACAAGUGGGAGAAUUGGAACAAUUUACCAAGUAAAAAGGGAGGUCUUAGUGUUAAUGAUGCUCCCUUAAAGUCACAUACCAAACGAGGUUAGGAGAGCUUUUAUUGGAAAUAAUAAGACUAGCUCUUGAAUUUUCAGGGAGGAUGAAUGGACAGCCACUUGUCCCCUCGAUCUAGAGCUACUAUUGGAUAAGCAGAGCAUAAGAAUUCCUCAGUUGUUCAAUGGCCACCUAUCAUAGGUGACUUUGAAUUAAAAUGACCAAUUGGAACUCAGUCUCUUGAACCCAGUUCUUCUGUUCAUAAGGUUUAAAGGAAACUAGGAUUUACAGAAAAACUGGUUAUUUUGCAUUUUAUGUUUUUCAAAACUCAGGAGCUUAGUAGGAAAUAGACUGCUUUCCAGAUUGCCUGAGGAACCUUGGAACUCUUGAUCCAGUAUAGCUGAUUACCCAACUCUAUCUCAGGUCCUUCCUCUAGCUAGCUGCCUUAACUCAUGAACUAAGUAAGUGAGCUGUUUUCUACUUAAGUGAUAGGUUCAGAUUCACAUGUGGUGUCAGCAGAGUUCUGGGGUGCUGUGGGGUUCUUCUAGAGAUUCUAGGUUCUUGUCCUGAACAAAGAAUUGGUCAAAACAAGCAAAAAGGUAGCAAAGUUUUACAUUUAUUAAAGGUAGAAAAAGAAAUAUGCUCCGCAGAGUGAGUGUGGGGCAGUUAAAGGUAGGAAAAGAAGUGCACUCUGGAAAGUGCAGAGUGGGCCAGUGAAAAGGCUCACAGCAGCCAUUAAACUCAUGGUGACGUCAGAUCUAUAUCCCCCAAGCUGACGUCAGAUCUAUGCCAUGCUAUCAAAUGCCUGCUUGAUUUCUCACAAAAGAAUUGAAGAUAGCAUUUUCUGACUGAUCCUAGGCACAGGGCUUGGAACAGUUUUUCUGCACAUGUGUUCUGGAUUUCUGUGAUUGGUGGAUCAUACCCACUUGCCCGGCCGCUUUGCCAUGCCCUAAUCUCCCCACAGGAGGGUUGGAUAUAGAUAGAAGGGGAGAAAGUCAGAGAUGAUUGAUGAUUUCUGGUGGGCCCAGUAGAUGGGUACUAAUGCCAUUGCUGAGAUCUGGGGUACACUAAGUUUAGACUCAAGCAGCCCUUGAAGGAUGCAUUGAUAACAGCUUUCCUGGCUCUUAGCCCAGGCCUCUCAUUGUUUUCUGGAAUGUCUCUCUGCCUACUCAGAAGCUCUCUUUUUACCUCUCCAUGAAAGCCCAUCUUUCAAGCUCCCUAACUCCAGAAUUUUGUUCAGUGUCAGGUUCCAACACCUUGUCUUUGCACUCCUUUCAAUUCAAGUGUUUUUCACCCUUCUCGCUGUCCAGGAUUUGGAGAGAAAAGGGGUCAAAUGCUGCUUCAUUUUCAAUAAGGCUUUUGUAUUCUUGAAACCUACUUUGGAAAUGUAUUUAAAGGCUGAGUGUCAGGAGAAAACCAUGUCCUCCACCUUCUUAGGUUAUUUAAGGCCCUGCAAAUUAAAUUCAUAAAAGACAUUAGCAAGACAAAAAAAUCUUUUUUUC